UCACAGAGCUAGGGGUGCCCGCUGGAAUCCUCCGGACCGGGCUGAGACACACCCUUCGAACCUGAACCGGUUAGUCCCGGCGUAGGAAAGCUGAUCCGCCUUUGG
This 105-nucleotide non-coding RNA is filed under the name Acidithiobacillales bacterium. RNAcentral describes it as "TPP sequence". It matches the Rfam family "TPP riboswitch aptamer (THI element)". From Rfam's summary of the family: Vitamin B(1) in its active form thiamin pyrophosphate (TPP) is an essential coenzyme that is synthesised by coupling of pyrimidine and thiazole moieties in bacteria. The previously detected thiamin-regulatory element, thi box was extended, resulting in a new, highly conserved RNA secondary structure, the THI element, which is widely distributed in eubacteria and also occurs in some archaea. The record is from RNAcentral. Lineage: Bacteria; Pseudomonadati; Pseudomonadota; Acidithiobacillia; Acidithiobacillales.